GCGGGAGUAGCUCAGCGGUAGAGCACCGCCCUUCCAAGGCGGCUGUCGUGGGUUCAAGUCCCAUCUCCCGCUCCA
Molecule: transfer RNA, 75 nt
Filed under: Dehalococcoidia bacterium
Lineage: Bacteria; Bacillati; Chloroflexota; Dehalococcoidia
Also listed under: 1 other name
Description: tRNA-Gly
Rfam family: tRNA
About the family: Transfer RNA (tRNA) molecules are approximately 80 nucleotides in length. Their secondary structure includes four short double-helical elements and three loops (D, anti-codon, and T loops). Further hydrogen bonds mediate the characteristic L-shaped molecular structure. tRNAs have two regions of fundamental functional importance: the anti-codon, which is responsible for specific mRNA codon recognition, and the 3' end, to which the tRNAs corresponding amino acid is attached (by aminoacyl-tRNA synthetases). tRNAs cope with the degeneracy of the genetic code in two manners: having more than one tRNA (with a specific anti-codon) for a particular amino acid; and 'wobble' base-pairing, i.e. permitting non-standard base-pairing at the 3rd anti-codon position.
Source: RNAcentral